UGAAGGGGGAGUUUUCACUUUAUAUGUGGAUUUUACUUUUAUUUUGUGGCAAAAGUUUUAUUUUAACUUGAGGUUUGGCUAUGUAAUUUAUGUAUAUGUGAUUCAUUGAGAAUUUUAGUUUUUGAAAGACUAGGAAAUUCUUGCAGUGUAUAAAAUUAAGUAUUUAAGAAAUUAAGACUUAGAGAUUUACGUUAAGUACAAACAUAAUUUGUGCCAGCAGUUGCGGUUACACAAAUUGUGCAGGCCAAUUUUAUUUAAUGUAAUUAAAUGUAUAAUAUUAUAAAUUAAUUUUAAAUUUUUUAGGUGAAAUUUUAAGUUUAAUUUUAUUUAAUCAAGUUUUGUUGAAGUUAAGAAAUUCUAUGAUAGACUAGGAUUAGAUACCCUAUUAUUAGGAAUGUAAAUUGUUUAGUUGAAAUUACUAACAGCUAUGGUCUUUAAAAUUAAAAAAUUUGGCGGUAUUUUAGUCUAUUCAGAGGAACCUGUUUUUUAAUUGAUAAUCCACGAUUACUUUUACUUUAAAUUUCAGCUUGUAUAUCGCCGUAGCUUGAAUAUCCUAGGAGGGCUAGAAUGUUCAUUAAACUUAAUUAAGUCAGAAUUCAGGUCAAGGUGCAGUUUAUUUUAAAGUUAAAAUGGGUUACAUUGUAGUAAUAUUUGGUCCAUGAGUUUGAAAAGCCUAGGUAAAUUGGAUUUGAAAGUAAUUUUGUAUCUUUAUACAGAAUGAUUAUGCUCUAAAAUAUGCACAUAUCGCCCGUCGCUUUCGCUUAAGGUGGAAUAAGUCGUAACAAAGUAGGCCUAUUGGAAAAUGGGCCUAGAAUUCA
This 818-nucleotide non-coding RNA is filed under the name Pseudabris longiventris. Lineage: Eukaryota; Metazoa; Arthropoda; Insecta; Coleoptera; Meloidae. The record is from RNAcentral.